UAAUCGUGAACAAACAUUUAUUUGCCUCUCCUCUUAUCUUCCAUUAAGAAGUUCAUGCCUUCAGACUUCUUGCUUGGAAGGCCCCCCUUGACUCUUGGUGAGAUGCAGGGUUGCACUUGUCCAAUGCUUCACAUCAAGCAGGCUUCCCAACGUGACUGUGAUGUGUUCUCAAUCCUGUUCCAUGGCUAGCAGAGGAAACCUAAGGAACAAUGGCCUGGGAAAGGGAACUCACAAAGGGUUUUUUAUGUCAUAAGCAUCGUAAAUGCUUGAGAUCAUCAAUCCUGGGGGAUAAAUAUUAGAUUGUGCUUCAUGUUGUUAAGGAAAAGGGGGUGGGGUGGGAAUGGAGGCUUGGGGGGGAAAGAUUGGCCACAUUUCCAAAACAAAGUGUAAGGGAGGUCCC
RNAcentral lists this long non-coding RNA (400 nucleotides) under Monodelphis domestica (gray short-tailed opossum). RNAcentral's name for it is "lncRNA (ENSMODG00000038522.1)". Lineage: Eukaryota; Metazoa; Chordata; Mammalia; Didelphimorphia; Didelphidae. The record is from RNAcentral.